GACGAACGCUGGCGGCGUGCUUAACACAUGCAAGUCGAACGGAAAGGCCCUGCUUUUGUGGGGUUCUCGUGUGGCGAACGGGUGAGUAACACGUGUGUAACCUGCCCUUGACUUUGGGAUAUCUCUAGGAAACUGGGGCUAAUACCGGAUAGGAUCUCCUGCUGCAUGGUGGGGGUUGGAAAGUUUCGGCGGUUUGGGAUGGACUCGCGGCUUACCAGCUUGUUGGUGGGGUAGUGGCUUACCAAGGGUUCGAGGGGUAGCCCGCCUGGGAGGGUGAACGGCGACCAGGGGACUAAGAGAGGGACCAGACUCGAACGGGAGGCAGCAGGGGAGAAUAUUGCACAAUGGGCGGAAGCCUGUUGCGGCGACGCCCGGUGCGGAAUGACGGCCUACUGGUUAUAAACCGCUUUCGAAUGUGACGAAGAGUGAGUGACGGUAAUGGGUAAAGAAGCACCGGCUAACUACGUG
This 468-nucleotide ribosomal RNA is filed under the name uncultured bacterium. RNAcentral describes it as "partial 16S ribosomal RNA". It matches the Rfam family "Bacterial small subunit ribosomal RNA", at positions 28 to 507 of the family's 1533-position model. The record is from RNAcentral.